RNAcentral lists this ribosomal RNA (497 nucleotides) under uncultured bacterium. RNAcentral describes it as "partial 16S ribosomal RNA". It matches the Rfam family "Bacterial small subunit ribosomal RNA", at positions 899 to 1397 of the family's 1533-position model. The record is from RNAcentral.
ACUCAAAGGAAUUGACGGGGGCCCGCACAAGCGGUGGAGCAUGUGGUUCAAUUCGAUGCAACGCGCAGAACCUUACCGGGGCUUGACAUGUAGAGGACCGGUGUGGAAACACACCUUCCCUUCGGGGCCUUUGCACAGGUGCUGCAUGGCUGUCGUCAGCUCGUGUCGUGAGAUGUUGGGUUAAGUCCCGCAACGAGCGCAACCCUCGCCCCUUGUUGCCAGCAAGAAAGUUGGGCACUCGAGGGGGACUGCCGGUGAUAAGCCGGAGGAAGGUGGGGAUGACGUCAAGUCCUCAUGGCCUUUAUGUCCCGGGCUACACACGUGCUACAAUGGUCGGUACAAAGGGUUGCAAGACCGCGAGGUGGAGCCAAUCCCACAAAGCCGGCCUCAGUUCGGAUUGCAGUCUGCAACUCGACUGCAUGAAGUCGGAAUCGCUAGUAAUCGCGGAUCAGCAGGCCGCGGUGAAUACGUUCCCGGGCCUUGUACACACCGCCCGU